UGCCACAGUGACCCGGUGACACGCGCACACACACACACCCGCGCAAGAUUGGCCAAGGCGGCGAUCGGGACCCGGUGGAGCGCUGCAACCUUGCUCACGACUUGGUCUCUUUGUCGCCGCUUGCGAGCCGGAGGGGGGGAUCCGGAGUAGACAGGUGAGCUUGGGCUUGGCCAGCAGGCGACCUCUAGGUGGAGGAGCAGCUCUGGGGCCGGGAGGACCACUUGUCCCCAUAACCCCCUCGGGGGAGGGGACUGAGAUCCUCAACAGGAGCACAUCUCUUGUUGCUCCCGUGUAGCUUGCUAAAUGCCAAUUUCUCACUUUUUUUCCUAAGGAACAGAGAGUUGGUUUAUGAUCUAUCAAUUGCAACUAUUUUUCAUUUUCCUUUUUUCUUUUUUCUUUGCUCAGCACUGAAAAAAGUACCACGGUAAUGUCCCUCUUAAAAAAAAAGAUGUGAUCUUACCAUACCUUAUCCUUUCUUCAGGGGAUAUGUCGUAAAAACUCCCCUUUGCGCAUCAUAGAAGUAACUUGAUCGGGAUACGUUACUCCAUCCAAUGACUGAAUAGGCUUCCGUUCUUUUUACGCAGCCUCCCUGAGGGUACCUGUGUUAGCCGAGUGAGCGCUCGGGAUGAUGGCUAAGAUCAACCUCGGCGGAGGUCGCUUCUUUCGGAUUGAUCCAUUCGGAUUAGAAGUGACCGCGGGUUCAACGGCGGUGCCAGUAGGGGAAAAAAGAGAAGACAUCAACCAUCUAUCCAGUGAUCUGGAGGAAAGAGGGAAGAGAUUACUUGUGUGCUGACAUUCUAUCAGUGACUGGCCUUUUGCUCAAAAAAAUAAAAUACAAUGGACUCUUAUUACA
Molecule: long non-coding RNA, 853 nt
Filed under: Pogona vitticeps (central bearded dragon)
Lineage: Eukaryota; Metazoa; Chordata; Lepidosauria; Squamata; Agamidae
Description: lncRNA (ENSPVIG00000020115.1)
Source: RNAcentral